UCCGGGAUCACUUACGCCGAGCACCGAGACGAGUCAUAUGAGGACGAAGUGACUGACACCACGCUUCCAGGAAAAGCCACUAAGCUUCAGCUUAAGAAAAACCGUACCGCAAACCGACACAGGUAGGCAGGGUGAGAAUCCCAAGGCGCUUGAGAGAACUCGGGUGAAGGAACUAGGCGAAAUGGCACCGUAACUUCGGGAGAAGGUGCGCCCUUUGGUGUGGUCACGUGCGUGACUGAGCAUCGAAGGGUCGCAGUAACCUGGCCGCUGCGACUGUUUAUCAAAAACACAGCACUCUGCAAACACGAAAGUGGACGUAUAGGGUGUGACGCCUGCCCGGUGCUGGAAGGUUAAUUGAUGGGGUCAGCCGCAAGGCGAAGCUCUUGAUCGAAGCCCCAGUAAACGGCGGCCGUAACAAUAACGGUCCUAAGGUAGCGAAAUUCCUUGUCGGGUAAGUUCCGACCUGCACGAAUGGCGUAACGACAGCGGCGCUGUCUCCACCCGAGACUCAGUGAAAUUGAAAUCGCUGUGAAGAUGCAGCGUUCCCGCGGCAAGACGGAAAGACCCCGUGAACCUUUACUAUAGCUUUACACUGAACGUUGAGUUCUUCCGUGUAGGAUAGGUGGGAGGCUAUGAAACCAGGACGCUAGUUCUGGUGGAGCCAUCCUUGAAAUACCACCCUGAAGUGCUUGACGUUCUAACCUAGGCCCGUAAUCCGGGUCAGGGACCGUGUAUGGUGGGUAGUUUGACUGGGGCGGUCUCCUCCCAAAGAGUAACGGAGGAGCACGAAGGUACGCUCAGCGCGGUCGGACAUCGCGCACUGUGUGCAAAGGCAUAAGCGUGCUUGACUGCGAGAUCGACGGAUCAAGCAGGUACGAAAGUAGGUCUUAGUGAUCCGGUGGUUCUGUAUGGAAGGGCCAUCGCUCAACGGAUAAAAGGUACUCCAGGGAUAACAGGCUGAUACCGCCCAAGAGUUCAUAUCGACGGCGGUGUUUGGCACCUCGAUGUCGGCUCAUCACAUCCUGGGGCUGUAGCCGGUCCCAAGGGUAUGGCUGUUCGCCAUUUAAAGUGGUACGCGAGCUGGGUUCAGAACGUCGUGAGACAGUUCGGUCCCUAUCUGUCGUGGGCGUUGGAGAUUUGAGGGGGGCUGCUCCUAGUACGAGAGGACCGGAGUGGACGUUCCGCUGGUGUUCGGGUUGUCAUGCCCAUGGCAUUGCCCGGUAGCUACGAACGGAAGUGAUAACCGCUGAAAGCAUCUGAGCGGGAAGCACGCCCCAAGAUGAGAUCUCCCGAGAGCUUGACUCUCCUAAAGGCACCAUCAAGACUAGGUGGUUGAUAGGUCAGGUGUGGAAGCGCAGCAAUGCGUUGAGCUAACUGAUACUAAUGAGCCGUGAGGCUUGACC
This 1403-nucleotide ribosomal RNA is filed under the name metagenome. RNAcentral's name for it is "bacterial LSU rRNA". It matches the Rfam family "Bacterial large subunit ribosomal RNA", at positions 1541 to 2925 of the family's 2925-position model. The record is from RNAcentral.